CAGUAGCCGCGGUAAUACGAAGGGGGCUAGCGUUGCUCGGAUUUACUGGGCGUAAAGCGCACGUAGGCGGACUUUUAAGUCAGGGGUGAAAUCCCGGGGCUCAACCCCGGAACUGCCUUUGAUACUGGGAGUCUUGAGUUCGAGAGAGGUGAGUGGAAUUGCGAGUGUAGAGGUGAAAUUCGUAGAUAUUCGCAGGAACACCAGUGGCGAAGGCGGCUCACUGGCUCGAUACUGACGCUGAGGUGCGAAAGCGUGGGGAGCAAACAGGAUUAGAUACCCCCGUAGUCCCUGUCUCUUAUAC
This 301-nucleotide ribosomal RNA is filed under the name uncultured bacterium. RNAcentral's name for it is "partial 16S ribosomal RNA". It matches the Rfam family "Bacterial small subunit ribosomal RNA", at positions 509 to 807 of the family's 1533-position model. The record is from RNAcentral.